UUAACACGUGAGUAACCUGCCCUUGACUUUGGGAUAACUUCAGGAAACUGGGGCUAAUACCGGAUAGGAGCUCCUGCUGCAUGGUGGGGGUUGGAAAGUUUCGGCGGUUGGGGAUGGACUCGCGGCUUAUCAGCUUGUUGGUGGGGUAGUGGCUUACCAAGGCUUUGACGGGUAGCCGGCCUGAGAGGGUGACCGGCCACAUUGGGACUGAGAUACGGCCCAG
RNAcentral lists this ribosomal RNA (223 nucleotides) under uncultured Actinomycetales bacterium. Its description in RNAcentral is "partial 16S ribosomal RNA". It matches the Rfam family "Bacterial small subunit ribosomal RNA", at positions 110 to 334 of the family's 1533-position model. The record is from RNAcentral. Lineage: Bacteria; Bacillati; Actinomycetota; Actinomycetes; Actinomycetales.